Molecule: long non-coding RNA, 3763 nt
Organism: Mesocricetus auratus (golden hamster)
Lineage: Eukaryota; Metazoa; Chordata; Mammalia; Rodentia; Cricetidae
Exons: 2
Source: RefSeq, a predicted model, not a curated record
GUGGCUUCCCGCUUCCCUAGGACUUCACCCUCUUGGAUUGCCCUAGCUGGGAUCCGAGUGCUGGAAGAUCGAUACAAGUACAAUAUUUGCUUGGCUUUUGCACCAUCCUUGGACAAGGCUCGCGGAGUUACCUAGAAUCCAACAAGAAAACUUGCCUUCUGGAUUUACAUUUUCUGCUUCAACGACAGACUUCUCAAGAAGUUUGGGGUUUUAUUGGGGGGAGUGGUGGACGCUGCAUUAAAGGUCAUUCAGAACCAUUAAAUUUUUAUUUUCUCCCCACCAUAUACCGAUAGUGGGCAAUCUGUAUUUCUCCUUUCUUUUAUGUGUGUGUGUAUUUGUAUGAAAUCGUAGUUUUAGCAGUGGCAUUGCUCCCUUAGAACACGCAAACAAUCCUUGUUGAAGGUUGGAAAAUUGGAAGUGGAUGCGGUUUUCACCACCUAUAUUUGGAGGCACAUGAUAAACAAAUUGUACUAGUUGAGGAAGUUUAGGUGUUGAAACACAGCACAGGAUUGGCACAUACUUGGGUUCCUGCUUAGGUAAGCAACAUCAGAAAAUACUUUGAAUGGGGACACUGAGGGCGGCUGAAGGCUCCAAACUCAGCAGUCUGAGGCAGAAGGCUCUUUUCAGUCACUGAUUGUAUCAUUUCAAACCAGUCUAGACAACAAAGCAAGACUUCAUCUCCAAACAGAGCAAAACAGGGAAUGCUAGAGCACACAGUUCUCUUCUGACACUGGAUAUGAGGAAGCAACAAAAAGACAUAAAGGUCUUCCCUUAUGAAACUUACUAGAUACGAAAUAAACAGUAGACACCACGCGUGUGUGCGUAGUCUGUAAACGAAAGCAGAAGGCUGUAAAUGCUCCCGGGCAGAAGUAUGGAGUAUGUAGAGGCUGGGAAGGGGGUUAGCAUUCUUAGCAGCCGGGCAGGGUGGGCAUUAUUGAGAAGGGUGGCUUUGAACAGUAAGUGGUGGGAAAUCAGCCUCGUGGAUGCCAAGGAAAGGAUGAAUCCUGGAAGCCUAGCGCCGUUGCGGUGCAAAGGCUGAAUAGUGAGACUGAGACUGAACAUGAUGCGUUUUUAUCACCAAAAUGAGAAAUGUCUGGGGAGAGAUGCUUAACCUGAUGUGAAGAUUACAUGUUGCAUAUUACAUAUCAGAGCACUAUGCUGCACUGCAUCUCUAUGCAGUUUCAUGUUUUAUGUAUGUUAAAAAUGCAUCUUUAACAAGUGAAGUGCUACAACUUGGUUCUAAAUAUUGUAGUGCUAAAUUCAACUACUUCAGGACUUUCAAGCUCAUUUCUUCAUGCUCACCAAAACUGAAGAAAUAAUGUAUAUCCAUAUAAAUGCUUUCAAAAUAAAAGCAUUUCAUAGAACAAAAAGCAAAGCAAAACAAACAAAAACAAGGACAUUAGCAGAAACGAAAGAAACUAGGAAGCAUGAUUGUUAAUUUUUUUACCACUGAGCCACCUCCCUGGCCCUUUUUGUUAAUUUUUUAACUAACAUAUUCAACUAUUCCAGAAAAUUCAGUUCAGCAUAUUCAGCUAUAUCAGAAAAGCCAGUGUGGCUUGAGCAGAGGAAUGUGGGAGAAAUAAAUGAAGUCAGAGGUAAGGAAAGGAAAGCAGAUUAAAGACAAGGGCCAUUGUAGAGACUGGGACUUCACUCUGAAAUUUAAUAACGCUGAAUAAACAUGUUCAGUGUUGAAUCUGCUGAACUACCACAAAAUUCAAAAUAUGUUUAUCAGAAGUAGAGAAUCCCGUUUUGAAGGAGCUAUUACCAAACCAAAUGGCUACUUGAUUAAUUCACCUUAAUUACUAUUGAGAGCAAUUUAGCAUGUCACCAGACAUCUUUUCCUUGUGAAAUAGUAUUUGGUAGUUAGGUGAUCUAACAAACUUAGAUGCCAUAUAAAGAAAGUUCACAUGAAUUGGCAUGAUAAGCAUGUGCACAAUCUUCAUAUAAAUAACAUUCAAAAUCUACCCUGUACUGUUGAUUUUUCUUUUCAGAUAAAAUAAAACUUACAUCUACUUCCUUGAAGCACAGCAUAUUAUGUAUGUCUUCCCUCACCCCCCCCCCCCCACAUCUGUUUUUUGAGUGUACAGUGCUGGGCACUGCACCUGGGAUUUUGCAAAUGCUAAAUGAGGCUUAUAUUCCUGACUUCUAUCCCUAGCCCCCUUUUUAUUUUUUGAGUCAAGGCUUCACCAGGCUGGAUUAGAACUCAGACUUUCAAGUGUCUAAUAUUACAGGUGUCUAAUCUUUUUUUAAAAAAACUAAUCAAUUUCCAAUGCUAAAAAUGUACAGAAAGAACAAGAUGUGACUAUAGGAAACUUUAUAGUGAUGUAAGCAUACUCAUGUAUUUAUAGAGAUGAUAUUGAAAUAUAUAUGUGAAUGAUUAUGUGUGUAGAAAGGGAGAUAAUUCAAAUUCUCCAGAGAAUAUCAAGUCUGAGAGUUGGAUAACCUGUUUAGCAUGCAAAAGUCAGUGUAUUUAAAUUGUUUAUAGGAAUAGCUGUAGGCAAAUCAUAGCCUUUCAAAUCUCCUACCUACCAUGCCUAGGUUACCCAAGUGGAGCUUUGAUUUAAAAUAAUUGUAACCUAAUCUGCCCACCCUAAAUGAAAUAUAGCACUUACCCAGAAAGUAUGACUUGAUUUAAUAAAUACAGAGUAUAUAACAGUUUGAACUAGAAGGUAAGAAACAUGGAGGUAAUACUUCAGUUUGAAAAUAAGUGUUUUAACAGAAUAAUUUACCAAAUUUAAAUAUCUGUUCUUACAAGCAAAAACAAAAAGCUUUGAGGGGCUCGGUAUGUUUUUAGAUGCCUAUAAUCCUAGAACUUCAGGAUUGUAGCUUUAUAGUAAGCCUGUGAGACCCCUGACACAAUUUCAAAUAAAUUAGAUGUGUAUUUUUUUUUAGUUUUUCAAGACAGGUUUUCUCUGUGUAUCCCUGGCCGUCCUGGAACAUUGUAGACCAGGCUGGCCACGAACUCACAGAGAUCCACCUACCUCUGCCUCCGGACUGCUGGUAUUAAGGGUGUAUGCCACACUUCCCAGCAAUUACAUUUAAUUUUAAAAUGCCUGGUACAAUUAAAUUGUCAUAUGUGUUUUAAAAGAAGUUUUUGUCUGUCUUUCAGAAAUGAAUACAGUGGUAAGAGGUGAAAAAUAGAAAACCAGAGGUCAUAGCACAUUUUCUCUUCUGGUUGCUUUAUCAUGCCAUGUUGUUACUUGCUAUUGUUUUUUGGUUUUGGUUUUUUUCUCUUAGCUUUUAGACUUAAAAAAUGUGAAAUACUACUUCAGCCUGAGAUAAAGUGAUACUUUUUCUGUUACAAAACUAAAAAUUUAGAACUCACAUUUAAUCUAAUUGUCUCUCUGUAAAUGUAAAAAUAAAGGUUAUAAUAAUCUUUCCAUUUGUACUAAGUCCUUAUUUCUUUGUGAAACAUUGUGCUAUUAUUGAAUCAAUGAUAAUCCAAAUAUGUUACAUUUUGAAGAGCCACUAAAAAAACCCCUGUCCUGUUUUACUUUUUCCCCUUAAUGAGAUAUACUUCUGACCAGGGUAUUAGUCAUUUAUUUUUUCUUAUGUCCCAGAGUCUUGUACAUUCUAAACAUGAAUUUCACUUAUAAUUGAGCUAUAGCCCUGGCCUGAAGGUUCCUUUCAAUUUACAUCCUACAAUAGCUAACCUGUUCUAACUUUAUGUAUCACCUACAUUUCAUAAAUGAUUGUAAUUAGCUAUUUAAUGCUUCAACAAAUUGUUUCUAGUGUGUCUGCAAUAAAUUUAUUCUCUCAGAAA